Molecule: transfer RNA, 67 nt
Filed under: Diorhabda carinata
Lineage: Eukaryota; Metazoa; Arthropoda; Insecta; Coleoptera; Chrysomelidae
Description: tRNA-Arg
Source: RNAcentral
AAAUAAGAAGCAAAACAUUGUAUUUAGUUUCGACCUAAAAGUUUGAUUUUUUAUAAAUCCUUAUUUU